AGAUCAAUGAUGAGAACUUUUUAUUGUCUGAAGAGAGGUGAUGAUUUAAAAAUCAUGCUUAAUAGGAUUAUGCUGAGGCCA
Molecule: small nucleolar RNA, 81 nt
Filed under: Carlito syrichta (Philippine tarsier)
Lineage: Eukaryota; Metazoa; Chordata; Mammalia; Primates; Tarsiidae
Description: Small nucleolar RNA SNORD115 (ENSTSYG00000022184.2)
Rfam family: Small nucleolar RNA SNORD115
About the family: HBII-52 is a member of the C/D class of snoRNAs, which contain the C (UGAUGA) and D (CUGA) box motifs. HBII-52 is encoded in a tandemly repeated array with another C/D snoRNA, HBII-85, in the Prader-Willi syndrome (PWS) region of chromosome 15. HBII-52 is exclusively expressed in the brain but is absent in PWS patients.
Source: Rfam by way of RNAcentral